Arachis ipaensis is the source of this 161-nucleotide non-coding RNA. Lineage: Eukaryota; Viridiplantae; Streptophyta; Magnoliopsida; Fabales; Fabaceae. The record is from RefSeq and is a predicted model, not a curated record.
CUUAUCUUGAAAAGUUUUUAAGGAGAUACUCACUUUCCAUUAUUAUUUAUUGUUGUAAAACUUGGGAGAAGAGUAAAACUUGGGGUCCCUCAGAAACCUUGAAAUCAUCUCUGCCUUCUCAGCAGAAAGGUUUGUGUUCUCCAGAAUUUGAUCUUUUGAUG